GAAAAGAAACUAACAAGGAUUCCCCUAGUAACUGCGAGUGAAGCGGGAAAAGCUCAAAUUUAAAAUCUGACGGUUGUUCUGGCUGUCCGAGUUGUAAUCUAGAGAAGUGUUACCCGCGCUGGACCGUGUACAAGUCUUCUGGAAUGGAGCAUCAUAGAGGGUGAGAAUCCCGUCUUUGACAUGGACUACCAGGGCUUUGUGGUGCGCUCUCAAAGAGUCGAGUUGUUUGGGAAUGCAGCUCAAAAUGGGUGGUAAAUGCCAUCUAAAGCUAAAUAUUGGCGAGAGACCGAUAGCGAACAAGUACCGUGAGGGAAAGAUGAAAAGAACUUUGGAAAGAGAGUUAAACAGUACGUGAAAUUGCUGAAAGGGAAACGCUUGAAGUCAGUCGCAUCGACUGGAAAUCAACCCUGCUUUUGCUUGGUGUAUUUUCUGGCUUGAUGGGUCAGCAUCAAUUUUGGUCGCUGGAUAAAGGCUUGGGGAAUGUGGCAUCUUAGGAUGUGUUAUAGCCCUUGGUUGCAUACAGCGGUUGGGAUUGAGGAACUCAGCACGCCGCAAGGCCGGGUCGGCUUCGACCACGUAUACGUGCUUAGGAUGCUGGCAUAAUGGCUUUAAUCGACCCGUCUUGAAACACGGACCAAGGAGUCUAACAUGCCUGCGAGUGUUUGGGUGGAAAACCCAUGCGCGCAAUGAAAGUGAAAAAAGUUGAGAUCCCUGUCGUGGGGAGCAUCGACGCCCAGACCAGACCUUUUGCGACGGAUCUGCGGUAGAGCAUGUAUGUUGGGACCCGAAAGAUGGUGAACUAUGCCUGAAUAGGGUGAAGCCAGAGGAAACUCUGGUGGAGGCUCGUAGCGAUUCUGACGUGCAAAUCGAUCGUCAAAUUUGGGUAUAGGGGCGAAAGACUAAUCGAGCCAUC
This 913-nucleotide ribosomal RNA is filed under the name Mallocybe pinicola. RNAcentral's name for it is "Mallocybe sp. MS-2021b partial large subunit ribosomal RNA". It matches the Rfam family "Eukaryotic large subunit ribosomal RNA", at positions 56 to 944 of the family's 3401-position model. The record is from RNAcentral. Lineage: Eukaryota; Fungi; Basidiomycota; Agaricomycetes; Agaricales; Inocybaceae.